This 459-nucleotide ribosomal RNA is filed under the name uncultured bacterium. Its description in RNAcentral is "partial 16S ribosomal RNA". It matches the Rfam family "Bacterial small subunit ribosomal RNA", at positions 338 to 795 of the family's 1533-position model. The record is from RNAcentral.
CCUACGGGUGGCAGCAGUGAGGAAUAUUGGUCAAUGGUCGGGAGACUGAACCAGCCAAGCCGCGUGAGGGAGGAAGGUACAGAGUAUCGUAAACCUCUUUUGUCAGGGAACAAAGGCGGGGACGUGUCCCCGGAUGAGUGUACCUGAAGAAAAAGCAUCGGCUAACUCCGUGCCAGCAGCCGCGGUAAUACGGAGGAUUCGAGCGUUAUCCGGAUUUAUUGGGUUUAAAGGGUGCGCAGGCGGUCUGUUAAGUCAGCGGUAAAAGCCCGGGGCGCAACCCCGGCCCGCCGUUGAAACUGGCAGUCUCGAGUUGGAGAGAGGUAUGCGGAAUGCGCGGUGUAGCGGUGAAAUGCAUAGAUAUCGCGAAGAACUCCGAUUGCGAAGGCAGCAUGCCGGCUCCACACUGACGCUGAGGCACGAAAGCGUGGGUAUCGAACAGGAUUAGAUACCCUGGUAGUC